GGCAGCAUUCACAAAAUGUUAGAUGAAUUUAGAUUUCAACACUCUAACAACAUUAAUGCCAACUAGAUAGCGUGGUCGAAGAGCCUGAACAUCCCCUCUCAGUUGCAAAAUGAAGUCGGAUUCAAGCGGGUUAAAAACAAAAGAUAGUGCAAUAAUAGUGAUCUUCUUUUGAUUUGGGUUGGCAGUGUAGUUGGAUUGAAUUGGAAUCCAUGUAUGUAGUGCAUAUUCUUCAUUCUCGCUCAUCCAUGGCAUUUUAAAAGUCGUUGGUACAGACUUCUUGCUUCGAUCACCGAUGCGGAUUGCCUUGUAUCGCCAGUUAUACAAGAAGGUUGGUGGGAUCAAGCCAUUGAUGAGCUUGUCUCGCUGGUGCUUGCUGAUUUAUACACCCCUUUUUCUAUUCGGGUGGUGUUUUAAAGUCCGUCGUUGCGGUCGUGAUGGUUAGCUCAUGUUUGAUUGGCCUUGGGCUCUGGGCUUCAGUGGUCGGGUUUUGGAGUGAUUGGAUGGGAUUUUUUUUUAAGUUUUUGGUGCGCUAGGUCCUGAUUUCGGUUCGGUCUAGCUCCGUUGGCUUUUGUCUCUUCUUCGAGCUGUGUUGUGUUAUUAGCCACUCGUCCGUUUCUCUAGCCUUGCUCUUUUGUUUGGUUUUUGUUUUGCCCUUUGAAUUUUCGUCGGAUUGAUUAAGGCUCGACCCUUAUUUAGUCUCUUUGUGCUAUAAAUAGGUUGUUGGUUUUUUUUCCCCCUUUUUUUUCUUUCAAUCAAUAUAUAAUACGAUUAAGGAUUCCUGCGCUCUCCUUAAUCCGGGGUCCUACGUGGCAUAUCUAAAAAUUCACCAUUCAAAAUCCUUGCAAUUCUAAAGCCUCUAGCUUUAAAAUAUACAUCCACAUGUCAAUAUACAUCCACGUCAUUUAUUUUAUUUAAUUUACAACAAACCCUAAGUCCCUAAUCUUUGAACCUCUUUCACUCACACAGGCGUGGCUCUUUCACUCACACAACCGCCACGCCUUCCUCUGCCUCUGCGCGAAUCCAGUCGCCCACCUCCCCGCCAACAACCGCUAGACGCCGUUCUGCCGCCGCGAUUCAGACGCUGUCUUCCGCUUCGCGAUUCAGACGCCGUCUCCGCCUUCUGCGCGAAUACAGCCGCGCCGUCCUCCGCCCAGCCCGCCCAAAGCUCAGCCCUCCGGUGCCGUCUCUGCGCGAAUCCAGUCGUCUACCUCCCCGCCAACCACCGCCAGUUUCCAUCCUGUCGCCGCGAUUCAGAUGUGGUCCACCGUCCCGUGAUUCAGACGUCGUCUUGGCCUUCUGUGCGAAUCCAGCCGCGCCGUCCUCCGCCCAGCCCAGCCCAAAGCUCAGCCCUCCGAUGUCGUCCUCCUUCCCACCGCGAUUCAUCGAGCCUAGAGUGACUCUCCUCUCUCUUUCCCUUGCCGCGAUUCGCCGCAGCCCAUCGUUUUCCUCUCCCCACCGCGUUCAGUCAUGGUAAGAAUUAUAUUAGGAAAAAAUUGAAUGCGCUUGACUAUUUUAAAUAUAGAAUGAUUGUUUUCAUAGAAUGAAAAGAUUUACUGGAAAGUUUCGAUCUUUUACUUUUUUUUUCUUUCGGAUUAGUGUUCAUAUGGUGGUUGGAUUAAUUUUGUUGAUCUACAAAAAUAGAGCAUCUAAUUAUUAUGGUUUUACUUCAAAAGUUGUGAAUUGGGAUUGAGAUAACUUUGUCUAUCUUUUUAUUGAAUCUUUAUUGUUGUUUUUGGAUGGUUGUGUAUCUGCUUAAAAUUGGGAUUGAGGUAAAUUGGGAUUGAGAUAACUUUGCUGGGAAAAUUAGCAGCUGUGAGUAGUAAUCUUGAUGAAUCUUUGGUCAUUUUGUGGUUGUGGGGUGUGUCAAGAUUGAAUAAUCAGCCAAUUUUUUUAGGGUUUAGGUCUAGGAUUUACCUCUCAUCGAAUUUUUCUGUAUAGAAAUUGAGUUGGACCAAGUUUUGAGCCUAAAUUAACUCAGUUUCUGUGGCCUAGAUAUAUGCCAUUACAGUUUUUGACAUGAUGGAAAGUGUCCUUGUGAAGAAGAUGAAGCUAAAUCCAAGUUUGGGUUUGCGUAUUAUUAAAAGGAAUAGUUAUGUUGGUAUGAUUCAUCAACAAUGGCCAUUCAUUUUGUCCAAGUUUAAUCUUCAAUUUAUGAAUGUAAUUUGUUUUUGUUUUUGCAGCUUUUCCAAUGUUUAUUGCCAUCACAUUCCCUUUCUUUGAUGGUCUUCUUAGUUUUUUUGGAGGAUUCGGUUUCGCCCCUACCACAUACUUCGUUAGCAAUUUGCAAUUCUAUACAUGAAAAUGCAUAUUAAUUUGUUUCACUUCUCUAAAUGAGUAUAUAAUGCUUUCUGCAGCUUCCCUGUAUCUUAUGGCUCACCAUCUGCAAACGGAAGCGUUCAGCUCCUCUUGGUUCGCGAAUUGGGUAUGUAUAUUUAGCCAACAAAUUAACAAUUGAAACUAAAAUAAUCUAGAUUUUAGCUAUAAAUUCAUUAGUGCUUUGUGGCUUCCAUUACUCUGGUUCAAAGUAACCUUAGUUUCAUUAUUUAUUUUUUAAAAAUAUUUAUUAUUUUCCCAAAUGUGUAUUGAGAUCACCGCAAUUUUACUUUUUCUCCGUGUUGCAGAUUGGAAUUUUUUCCCCCAAAUGUAUGUUAGAUUUAAUUGUUGUUUCUUUCUUUUGGAUUUAUUUUCUUGAUUGAUUAUAUAGGUUUAAGCUUUAUUGAAUUGUUAGUGGUGUUAAUCAAUGAUAAUCUUUUGAUUGGCAGAUGCUAGAGUUGUACCCACCAAUCUCCUAUCAGCCCGUGGAGAGAUUUCUUCUGUUAUAUGAAAACCAACGUCUUUUUUUUUUACCAAACUCUAGAUAUGAUCAUCAGGUUAGAGGAUGAGUUAAUAUUGUUGGGAGUAUAAUAGGGUGUGUUUUUAAGUAUAUCUCAGUAAAUUGUAGAUUGUGUUGAUUUGUUCUUCUGCAGCCCGAGAAAACAUCGAGAACAAUCAAAGAACAGCUUGAAGCUAUAGCUCUUGCUUUGGAAGCAGAAGGAUGACAUGAUAAAUUAAUUAUAUGAUGUUCAAUCUCAGAUACAAAAGAUAUGUGCAGAAAUUCUGAUUUGCGACUGUUGGUAUUCGAUGAGUAGCGGGUUAGCGAAUACUCGACGGGUGGCAGUAUUCGCGGGUGACGGGUGUGGGUGGCAGAGAGUACCCAUCGUGGGUCACGGGUUUGGUGGCGGAUACGGCCUUUGCUCGCGGGUACAAGCAUGGAUAGCCACUAUUCGUGUUCGUUGUACCCGAUUGGUCGACGACGUGGAGACGUCAGGUCUUAUGAAGAUGGGGAGGCGACGAUCGUGAGCAAAAAAGAAAGAGGCAGAGAGAGAUAUGAGAACGAUGAGUG
RNAcentral lists this long non-coding RNA (3382 nucleotides) under Salvia miltiorrhiza (redroot sage). RNAcentral's name for it is "long non-coding RNA (SMIL_LNC005514)". Lineage: Eukaryota; Viridiplantae; Streptophyta; Magnoliopsida; Lamiales; Lamiaceae. The record is from RNAcentral.